ACAUUACGGAGGGCACAAGCGGGGACACUAUGGUGGCUCUAACCACGGGUACGGUCAUCAUGGACACGGGCACGGCCACAGGGGCUACGGCCAUGGACACUACGGUGGACACAAGGGACACUACGGACACCACGGAGGAGGCUACGGGCACGGCUAGGUUCGACACGUAUAUGGUAGCUGAUAAUUCAGUGUCCCGAUACAACAGAGACACCACAACACCGACGAUUCGCCAAACGCUCUACGUUCUUAUUUAUAGCACCAAGGUAACUGACCUAAAUAAAGAUUUUACAAUCAAGUGGUU
Molecule: long non-coding RNA, 301 nt
Organism: Rhipicephalus microplus (southern cattle tick)
Lineage: Eukaryota; Metazoa; Arthropoda; Arachnida; Ixodida; Ixodidae
Source: RefSeq, a predicted model, not a curated record